Molecule: unclassified non-coding RNA, 400 nt
Filed under: soil metagenome
Description: partial contains 5.8S ribosomal RNA, internal transcribed spacer 2, and large subunit ribosomal RNA
Rfam family: 5.8S ribosomal RNA (bases 1-122)
Source: RNAcentral
GAUGAAGAACGCAGCGAAAUGCGAUACUUGGUGUGAAUCGCAGAAUCCCGUGAACCAUCGAGUCUUUGAACGCAAGUUGCGCCUCAAGCCAUUAGGUUGAGGGCACGUCUGCCUGGGCGUCACAUAUCGUUGCCUGAUGCCAGUUUCCUCGUGAUGGGUGACUGUGCAGGGCGAAUGAUGGCUUCCCGUGAGCAUUGUUGCCUCAUGGUUGGUUGAAAAUUGAGUCCUUGGUAGGGAGCGCCGUGAUAGAUGGUGGUUGAGUGACGAACGAGACCCAAUCAUGUGAGACCCCUACCGAAUUUGGCCUUCAUGACCCACAUGCGUCUUUGGAACGCUCAUGACGAGACCUCAGGUCAGGCGGGGCUACCCGCUGAGUUUAAGCAUAUCAAUAAGCGGAGGA